GGGGUUGUGGCUCAGCUGUACAGUGCUCAGCUAGCACAUGUGAGGCCCUGGGUUCAAUCCUCAGCACCUCA
Molecule: transfer RNA, 71 nt
Filed under: Marmota monax (woodchuck)
Lineage: Eukaryota; Metazoa; Chordata; Mammalia; Rodentia; Sciuridae
Description: tRNA.Ala
Source: RNAcentral